This 3565-nucleotide long non-coding RNA is filed under the name Homo sapiens (human). RNAcentral describes it as "HSALNT0012318". The record is from RNAcentral. Lineage: Eukaryota; Metazoa; Chordata; Mammalia; Primates; Hominidae.
GGCUCUCAUCCAGGGGCAUCUGCCCACAGCUCAUAUUUUUCUGUCCAGUGACAGCUAAAUGAAGAGAAAGCUAACUUUACAACCGCCCACUUCACAUAUAAUGAAUAUGAAUGGGUAUCCCGGAGCCUGUUUUGUGGGAUUGUCUGUGAGCUAACCUCAGACCUCCGCCCAGGCCAGUGGUUCCUCAAGGCCAGGCCUGUGCUCUGGCCACUCCUUCUGGGAAGGGAAAGGGGAAGUGGCCCCUCCUGAAAUCCCAGCUCAUUUUGCUGAGGCUCCUGUCUCCCCCAGAGAAGAUGCCAGAGCCCUAAAUCUUGGUCCUGGCAGAAACACGGACACCAGGUCAGGACUGGAGGGCCACAGCCAGGGGGCCCAUCAGUCUAGUCUGCCCACCUCAGUCAGCAGCUGGAAAUGCUUCUCAUGCAAGGCAUUCAAUCCUCCUUCCCCACCUCUCCCAUUUACACUUCAACCUGAAUUACAACCCCAAAGUGCAGACCCUCUGCAGCUCCAGAUGGGAAGAGUCUAGCAUGGCCAGGAACUGGGAAGACCCUAACAUUUCCUUUAUCCAGCAGAGGAAAGACUUCCCCUGCCCCAGCCUCCUCCACAGGCUCAUCCCAGGCAUUUCACCUGGAAGGUGGUGAGCAUCAAGCGUCAGCUGUCAGAGCCCUUGAUUCUGAUGCUGGAGCCCCCUUCCUUCCCACUUAGCGACUGCUGGCUCCCCCAGCAAUCUCUCCUCCAAUACUAAGAGGCUGGGACCAGUGGGACCUGUGGUAAGCCCUUCAGACGUCUGUUACCUAUCAUGCUAUUGCUUUUACUUGCUCUUAUGGCUGUGUCUCCAUCAACUGCGAGCUCGAGAGAAGUGAGAGAGUGUGGUAUCCUAGUAACCUGGAUAUCCAGGGCAUCUACCACAGGGCCUGGCCCCAACAGGCCUUCAAGGUGUGAUGGCAGGUUGCUGGACGAGUAGCUGACUCUUCUGAGAUGCCUCUGGAUUCACAGCAGCCAGCUAGGUCCAGGGGCUUUAAGGAGGCCUAAGACAUGGUUCUGGUCCUUGAAAGGGAUUUCUGUCUUCUAGGGGACAUAGGAAAUGGGUACAAAUUCAUAGAACAUUAGAGUUUGAGGGGCCAUUGCCAAGACUAAGAACUGCUACCAUUUAUUGUCAUCCCUUGUCAGCCAGACAUGUAGGUUCAUUUCCACAAUCUUACUCAGCCCAUGCAAUACGGCUAUUAUUAAACCAAUUUUUACAGAUGAGUCAACUGAGCCUUGGAAAUUGACUAGCUCAAGGUCCCUCAGUGAGUAAAUGUCAGAGCCCGAAUUGAAAGUCAGGGCUGUCUCACUCCCAAAGGGUGCUCCUCCCUUGUUUUAUAGCCAGCAGCCUGAGGCUGACUGUGCCAAGUGCCAAAUGAAUGUAACAACUAUUCUCCUCUGAGAAGUCAGCUCUUUGAGGACAGACGGAAGCCAGCCUCCUGGGAAAUGAGCCUAACAGGUAUAGAAGGGGCAGCCAACACAAGAGUCCUCUGGGACCCAGAAGAGAAAAAAAUUUAGGCUCAGGCUGAAAAGAAAAAAAGACGGCAGCAACAGCCAAGUUACCCUGAGGAGGGCAUAUUCAGGGAACAUCAGAGGCUAGGCUAAGGCUAAGCUUAGGUGGUCCAGUUAGGACCUAAAGCAAUGGACAUUUACCAUGAAUCUUUCAUGCCGGGGACGAUGCUAGAGCAAAUGUGAAGUGUUGGCUGUGGUGAAUAAAUGAGCAAAUGAAGGCACUGGUGGUAAGUGCUGGGGUAUGACAAUGACUAAUAGCAAAGGGUGUGAGGGAGUGAAAAAAAUGCGUGCGCUGAGACAGAGGCCUGGAUUUGAAUCCUGGCUCUUGCCUUUAUAUGACCUUGGGCAAGUUCUUUAUCCUUUCUGUGCCACAGUUUUCUCCUGUGCAAAAUAGGGAUUAAAAUGGCAUGUAUCUUUCAGGAUAUCACAAGGAAUAUGUAAGAUAUUAUACAUCAAGUGGUUAGAACGCUGGCUGGCACAUUGUAAGUACUCAGCAUUUGCUGGCUUUGUAGAAAAUAAGGCUUUGAGAAGCAUCUAAUAUUGUGCCUGGUACCUACUUGGCAACCCAUAAGUGGUAACUCUUACGAUUAACAAGGGACAGCUCCCAUCCUUAGAGUGAUACUGCCUCAGGGUAAUCUGUCCCUCGGUGGAUUGAAGGAGCAGUGGACCCUGACCCUGCUUAGCAAUAAACAACAUUUUAUGUAACUCAAUCAAAGUACAAAGGGUCUUCAUGUACUCUGCCCAUUUCAUGACCCAUAUGAGAUUUAAAAAGCCACAAAAACUGUGUGGCUCCAAAAGACAUUUCUGUACAAAGACCUGAGUUCAAAUGGCCAACCUGCCACUAAUACACUCUGUGGCUGUGAGAAGCCCCUUCCUCUCCCCAGGCUGGCUCCUGGGCCUACAGCUGAAAGGAUUUGCCUGCCCAGGCUUUAUGGCCCUUGCAGCUUUGAUAGUCCUGCAUUCUCUUUUGCAGGUCAGAGGAGAGACAGGCCUCGACCACGCAGUUUCAGUGACUCAGGCUUCAUGGGAGAGUAAGAAUGUGAAAAAUCCAUCUCUCCCUAAUUGAAAUCUCAAGAUACAUAUUUCCUGUCAGUCCUGGAAAGAAAUAGCAGAAAAUCCAUCAUCCACACAUAAAUUGUGUCAAUUCCCUUGUCCUGUACAAGUUACUUUGGGGCACAGGGCCCAUCAGUCACAGAUGGGACUUCCCAUCUCACAGCUGUGUGACCAUCAGGAGUACACUGCUGCCUUCCACCCCUGCUGUCCCUAACCAUGCUGGCACAUCAAAAGGCCUGUCCUGAGGCUCAGCAGGUCCCAGGCCAGGCAGGCAUGAACACAAGACCCAAAGAAGGGGAGAUGCUCCCCAGAACAUGUUUCCUUUACAAGUCAAGACCCCUUGGAGAUUUAACAACCUACAAAACAACUGCCUACAGGUAAAAUAAGAGCUUCCAGGAAUUCUAAAAAGGAAACACUCCUUUCACCAGCAUCAAAACACUAAUAUCUUCUCAGGCAGAUGAAACCAGGGGUCUGGAGGCCAAAGUGGAGGCGCCAGGUGUCCACUGACACCUACUACAAAGAUUUUCCUUGCUUUUCUCUCAGCCACAGGGGGCUCCUGGGCCCUCCAACACUUUUUCCCACCGUGAACCUGACUCCUGAUGGUCUGCUUCCUAGGCUCUGAGUACUGAAGUUUCCCCUCAGUCCCAACCACCUGCCCCAGGGAGGACCUAGAGCAGCAGACCCCCUUGCUUUGACCUAGCCCCUCCCUCCAUAGCACUGACACUGGUUUGGCUGAGGCCAGCUCAGUGAUGUGAUCCAGAGAAACCUGGGGCUCCUACUGAAAUUACAGCAAACCCAGGGGUGCAGGACAAUGUGUCAGUAAAGUAACCUAGUGCCCUGGAGUUGGGCUAGAGCAAUCCCAGAUUACUGUGGGGUUAACUUACACUGGAUAAAUGCCAACUCUCUCUCCUCUUCCCCCAGGAUGGGAAAGGCAGGCAGCUUGACAAGGACAAGCGUUGACCAGCAAUGCUAGCAGAAA